GACUCAGGCAAAACGAGUCACGGCGAACAGCUCAGUAACACGUGGCUAAUCUGCCCUUAGGACGAGAAUAACCCCGGGAAACUGGGGCUAACUCUCGAUAGGUGAAGAACUCUGGAAUGAGUCUUCACUCAAAAAGCUUCACGUUAUCCUCGUGAAGUCGCCUAAGGAUGAGGCCGCGGCCGAUCAGGUUGUUGGCGAGGUAACGGCUCACCAAGCCUUUUACCGGUGCGGGCCGUGAGAGCGGGAGCCCGGAGAUGGGUACUGAGACAAGGACCCAGGCCCUACGGGGCGCAGCAGUCGCGAAACCUUUGCAAUACACGAAAGUGUGACAGGGCUAUCCCGAGUGCCAUCCGCUGAGGAAGGCUUUUACCCAGUCUAGAUAGCUGGGGGAAUAAGGAGAGGGCAAGUCUGGUGUCAGCCGCCGCGGUAAUACCAGCUCUCCGAGUGGUGUGGAUGUUUAUUGGACCUAAAGCAUCCAUAGCUGGCUAGGUCAGUCCCUUGUCGAAUCCACCGAAUUAAUCGUUGGAUCGCGGGGGAUACUGCUUGGCUAGGGGACGAGAGAGGCAGACGGUAUUUUCGGGGUAGGGGUGAAAUCCUAUAAUCCCGGGAAGACCACCAGUGGCGAAGGCUGUCUGCUAGAACGCGCCCGACGGUGAGGGAUGAAAGCUGGGGGAGCGAACCGGAUUAGAUACCCGGGUAGUCCCAGCUGUAAGCGAUGCAGACUAGGUGUUUGGACGGCCACGUGCCGUUCUAGUGCCGCAGGGAAGGCUGUUAAGUCUGCCGCCUGGGGAGUACGAUCGCAA
This 803-nucleotide ribosomal RNA is filed under the name uncultured archaeon 142C. RNAcentral's name for it is "bacterial SSU rRNA". It matches the Rfam family "Archaeal small subunit ribosomal RNA", at positions 64 to 846 of the family's 1478-position model. The record is from RNAcentral.